GAUGAACGCUAGCGGCAGGCCUAACACAUGCAAGUCGAGGGGUAGCAGGAUUAAGCUUGCUUAAUUGCUGACGACCGGCGCACGGGUGCGUAACGCGUAUGCAACCUACCUUAUACUGGGGUAUAGCCCGGAGAAAUUCGGAUUAAUCCCCCAUAGUACUAAUGAAUCGCAUGGUUUAUUAGUUAAAGCAUUGCGGUAUAAGAUGGGCAUGCGUCCUAUUAGCUAGAUGGUGAGGUAACGGCUCACCAUGGCUACGAUAGGUAGGGGGCAUGAGAGGGUGGUCCCCCACACUGGUACUUAGACACGGCCCAGACUCCUACGGGAGGCAGCAGUGAGGAAUAUUGGUCAAUGGGCGCAAGCCUGAACCAUCCAUGCCGCGUGCAGGAAGAAUGCCCUAUGGGUUGUAAACUGCUUUUAUUUGGGAAUAAACCUCUUUACGUGUAGAGAGCUGAAGGUACCAAAUGAAUAAGCACCGGCUAACUCCGUGCCAGCCGCCGCGGUAA
RNAcentral lists this ribosomal RNA (503 nucleotides) under uncultured bacterium. Its description in RNAcentral is "partial 16S ribosomal RNA". It matches the Rfam family "Bacterial small subunit ribosomal RNA", at positions 28 to 523 of the family's 1533-position model. The record is from RNAcentral.